Molecule: ribosomal RNA, 492 nt
Filed under: uncultured bacterium
Lineage: Bacteria
Description: partial 16S ribosomal RNA
Rfam family: Bacterial small subunit ribosomal RNA
Source: RNAcentral
AGUGAACGCUGGCGGUAGGCCUAACACAUGCAAGUCGAACGGCAGCACAGUAAGAGCUUGCUCUUACGGGUGGCGAGUGGCGGACGGGUGAGGAAUACAUCGGAAUCUACUUUUUCGUGGGGGAUAACGUAGGGAAACUUACGCUAAUACCGCAUACGACCUACGGGUGAAAGCAGGGGAUCUUCGGACCUUGCGCGGUUGAAUGAGCCGAUGUCGGAUUAGCUAGUUGGCGGGGUAAAGGCCCACCAAGGCGCCGAUCCGUAGCUGGUCUGAGAGGAUGAUCAGCCACACUGGAACUGAGACACGGUCCAGACUCCUACGGGAGGCAGCAGUGGGGAAUAUUGGACAAUGGGCGCAAGCCUGAUCCAGCCAUACCGCGUGGGUGAAGAAGGCCUUCGGGUUGUAAAGCCCUUUUGUUGGGAAAGAAAAGCAGCAGGUUAAUACCCCGCUGUUCUGACGGUACCCAAAGAAUAAGCACCGGCUAACUUCGUG